RNAcentral lists this ribosomal RNA (468 nucleotides) under uncultured bacterium. RNAcentral's name for it is "partial 16S ribosomal RNA". It matches the Rfam family "Bacterial small subunit ribosomal RNA", at positions 28 to 507 of the family's 1533-position model. The record is from RNAcentral.
GACGAACGCUGGCGGCGUGCUUAACACAUGCAAGUCGAACGGAAAGGCCCUGCUUUUGUGGGGUGCUCGAGUGGCGAACGGGUGAGUAACACGUGAGUAACCUGCCCUUGACUUUGGGAUAACUUCAGGAAACUGGGGCUAAUACCGGAUAGGAGCUCCUGCUGCAUGGUGGGGGUUGGAAAGUUUCGGCGGUUGGGGAUGGUCUCGCGGCUUAUCAGCUUGUUGGUGUGGUAGUGGCUUACCAAGGCUGUGACGGGUAGCCUGCAUGAGAGGGUUACCGGCCACAUUGGGACUGAGAUACGGCGCAGACUCCUACGGGAGGCAGCAGUGGGGAAUAUUGCACAACGGGCGGAAGCCUGAUGCAGCAACGCCGCGUGCGGGAUGACGGCCUUCGGGUUGUAAACCGCUUUCGCCUGUGACGAAGCGUGAGUGACGGUAAUGGGUAAAGAAGCACCGGCUAACUACGUG